UACAGAGGUCUCAAGCGUUGUUCGGAUUCAUUGGGCGUAAAGGGCGCGCAGGCGGCCCGGUAAGUCGGAUGUGAAAACUCGGGGCUCAACCCCGAGCGUGCACCCGAUACUGCCGGGCUUGAGGCAGGUAGGGGAGAUCGGAAUUCCUGGUGUAGCGGUGAAAUGCGCAGAUAUCAGGAGGAACACCGGUGGCGAAGGCGGAUCUCUGGGCCUGUCCUGACGCUGAGGCGCGAAAGCUAGGGGAGCGAACAGG
This 253-nucleotide ribosomal RNA is filed under the name uncultured bacterium. RNAcentral describes it as "partial 16S ribosomal RNA". It matches the Rfam family "Bacterial small subunit ribosomal RNA", at positions 524 to 776 of the family's 1533-position model. The record is from RNAcentral.